GCACUUUGGGAUAAGCCUGGGAAACUGGGUCUAAUACCGAAUAUGACUAUGGCAUGCAUGUGCUGUGGUGGAAAGCUUUUGCGGUGUGGGAUGGGCCCGCGGCCUAUCAGCUUGUUGGUGGGGUGAUGGCCUACCAAGGCGACGACGGGUAGCCGGCCUGAGAGGGUGUCCGGCCACACUGGGACUGAGAUACGGCCCAGACUCCUACGGGAGGCAGCAGUGGGGAAUAUUGCACAAUGGGCGCAAGCCUGAUGCAGCGACGCCGCGUGGGGGAUGACGGCCUUCGGGUUGUAAACCCCUUUCAGCACAGACGAAGCGCAAGUGACGGUAUGUGCAGAAGAAGCACCGGCCAACUACGUGCCAGCAGCCGCGGUAAUACGUAGGGUGCGAGCGUUGUCCGGAAUUACUGGGCGUAAGGAGCUCGUAGGUGGUUUGUCACGUUGUUCGUGAAAACUCACAGCUCAACUGUGGGCGUGCGGGCGAUACGGGCAGACUGGAGUACUGCAGGGGAGACUGGAAUCCCUGGUGUAGCGGUGGAAUGCGCAGAUAUCAGGAGGAACACCGGUGGCGAAGGCGGGUCUCUGGGCAGUAACUGACGCUGAGGAGCGAAAGCGUGGGGAGCGAACAGGAUUAGAUACCCUGGUAGUCCACGCCGUAAACGGUGGGUACUAGGUGUGGGUUUCCUU
Molecule: ribosomal RNA, 686 nt
Filed under: uncultured Mycobacterium sp.
Lineage: Bacteria; Bacillati; Actinomycetota; Actinomycetes; Mycobacteriales; Mycobacteriaceae
Description: bacterial SSU rRNA
Rfam family: Bacterial small subunit ribosomal RNA
Source: RNAcentral